GAAGAACUGGGUUCCAUGUGAGGACUAGGUUUCUCAGGCUUAUAGCUGGGUUUUUCAGAGGAAAGAGAGCCAGACUUCUCAGAUAGGAACAAGGAACUAGGUUUCAUGGGACCACUAGGUUUCUCAGAUUUAACUUCUGACUUCUCAGAUGGGUGGGAGGAACUAGGUUCCAUGUGAGGACUAGGUUUCUCAGGUUUAACUCUGGACUCCUCAGAUGGCUGGGAAGAACUGGGCUCCAUGUGAGGACUAGGUUUCUCAGGUUUAACACUGGACUUCUCAGAUGGUUGGGAAGAACUG
Molecule: long non-coding RNA, 297 nt
Organism: Labeo rohita (rohu)
Lineage: Eukaryota; Metazoa; Chordata; Actinopteri; Cypriniformes; Cyprinidae
Exons: 4
Source: RefSeq, a predicted model, not a curated record